Molecule: small nucleolar RNA, 128 nt
Filed under: Apaloderma vittatum (bar-tailed trogon)
Lineage: Eukaryota; Metazoa; Chordata; Aves; Trogoniformes; Trogonidae
Description: Small nucleolar RNA SNORA40
Rfam family: Small nucleolar RNA SNORA40
About the family: The snoRNA ACA 40 belongs to the H/ACA family of snoRNAs and guides the pseudouridylation of 28S rRNA subunit at position U4565. NB This family has a high threshold value to exclude a large number of closely related sequences that do not appear to have conserved H and ACA boxes, and may be pseudogenes.
Source: Rfam by way of RNAcentral
AGCACUUGUUCAGUUUUUGUCUGUUGCUGUAGACAAAAAACCUGGAACCUAGUGCUUAGAAAGAACCCUUCUUUUGCAACCCACAGCUGAUGAACAUAUUAGUUGUGUUACUUAUGUGAAGGGACAAC